UUACAUUCAGUGGCGAGGUUAACCGAAUAGGGAAGCCGUAGAGAAAUCGAGUCCGAAUAGGGCGAAUAGUCGCUGGGUGUAGACCCGAAACCAAGUGAUCUAUCCAUGGCCAGGAUGAAGGUACCGUAACAGGUGCUGGAGGUCCGAACCGACUAGUGUUGCAAAACUAGCGGAUGAGCUGUGGAUAGGGGUGAAAGGCUAAACAAACUUGGAAAUAGCUGGUUCUCUCCGAAAACUAUUUAGGUAGUGCCUCAAGUAUUACCUGCGGGGGUAGAGCACUGUUUAGGCUAGGGGGUCAUGGCGACUUACCAAACCUUAGCAAACUCCGAAUACCGCAGAGUACAGCUUGGGAGACAGAGCACCGGGUGCUAACGUCCGGACUCAAGAGGGAAACAACCCAGACCGCCAGCUAAGGUCCCUAAAAUUGGCUAAGUGGGAAACGAAGUGGGAAGGCUAAAACAGUCAGGAUGUUGGCUUAGAAGC
RNAcentral lists this ribosomal RNA (483 nucleotides) under Klebsiella pneumoniae. Its description in RNAcentral is "partial 23S ribosomal RNA". It matches the Rfam family "Bacterial large subunit ribosomal RNA", at positions 628 to 1113 of the family's 2925-position model. The record is from RNAcentral. Lineage: Bacteria; Pseudomonadati; Pseudomonadota; Gammaproteobacteria; Enterobacterales; Enterobacteriaceae.